RNAcentral lists this long non-coding RNA (259 nucleotides) under Vigna radiata. RNAcentral describes it as "long non-coding RNA (VRAD_LNC015089)". Lineage: Eukaryota; Viridiplantae; Streptophyta; Magnoliopsida; Fabales; Fabaceae. The record is from RNAcentral.
AUUUUUAGGGUUGCACUUUACAGAUUCUUGCGAAGGCGGAGUUUUGUGGUUUGUAAUGGAGAAGAUCGAUGGUGAGAUGUUGAUGGUGGUUACAAGAAUUUCGCUGAUUACCGAAGGCCUUGAGGCCCUCGGUAAAUAUUGUUUUUCGACGGUCACAAUGAGAAUUACCAAGGGGCAUGAUGAAAUGUAUUUACCGAAGGCCUCGAGAGCAUUACCGAGGGAUUUAUGGCCUUCGGUAAGAGGCUUGAUGCCUUAAACU